This is a non-coding RNA of Caenorhabditis elegans, 135 nucleotides long. The record is from Ensembl. NCBI's taxonomy places the organism in Eukaryota, Metazoa, Nematoda, Chromadorea, Rhabditida, Rhabditidae.
AAAAAAUCACUCAAUGAUCACAAACCUUUUUCUUCAGACCUCUCAAGUCCGAAUACUAUUUUACUGGAACGAACACUGAAGAAGGCCAUCCAUCUUCUUGAGAUGAAAAUGAAAUUGAAAAAGAAGAACAAACAA